AUCCAGCUGAUAAGUCCAAAAUAGGACAAAACGCGCGUCAAGCUGGAU
This 48-nucleotide non-coding RNA is filed under the name Schistosoma mansoni. The record is from RNAcentral. Lineage: Eukaryota; Metazoa; Platyhelminthes; Trematoda; Strigeidida; Schistosomatidae.